RNAcentral lists this long non-coding RNA (698 nucleotides) under Pavo cristatus (Indian peafowl). Its description in RNAcentral is "lncRNA (ENSPSTG00000001112.1)". The record is from RNAcentral. Lineage: Eukaryota; Metazoa; Chordata; Aves; Galliformes; Phasianidae.
UGUACAGUCAUCUAUAUUAGUUGCAUUCUAAAAUUAUUGCUUUUUUCUUUUCUUAAUAGAACGUCAUUUAAAGUGUAAGAACUGUGUGUCCUUAAUCACAAUAACUGCAAAUGCGUGUGUGAUGAAGGCUGGGAUGCUGCUCCGUACGGCUGCCACUAUCACAUGACAUCCUUUUCUUUUGGCUGAGGAAACGUAUCCCAGGGCAUCCCCAGACACUGGCACAACAAAGAGUGUGUUGCCAUGGGAAGAAGUGCUGUAAUGAGGGAUAUGUGAGCACUGAUGGCUGUAAAUGCAUGUUCUGCUGGACCUCUUGGCAGCUCCUGUGCUAACAGUUACAUCACUCAGGUGCCAGAGAGAAGCAUUCAUUUAUUCACAGCAAAUAUUCCAGAGCUUUUUCUAUCACGGGAGCAUACCUCAUGACUUGUAGCUGUGGGAUCAAUGCGUCCUGCAUCUCCUUAACUGUAAGUACUGGCACUCAGUCUGCAGAAUGAUCUCACAUUCACACCUAAGUAUGUGCUGGUAUUUCUGUCCCCUUAAGCUUUCAAAUUGCUUUUACUUUUAGCAAAAUUAGCUGACAGACUAUUGUCCUGAUGAGCCAGUGUAGCAUCAUCCUCAUAUCCCUGUCAAUAUAUUAUACGUACUACGAAUCUGGCUGUAUUAUCCCUGUGAAAAAUUGAGAGAACUUCCUAGGUGAGUUU